AGCUUGCUACCUGACCUAGCGGCGGACGGGUGAGUAAUGCUUAGGGAUCUGCCUAUUAGUGGGGGACAACAUUCCGAAAGGAAUGCUAAUACCGCAUACGCCCUACGGGGGAAAGCAGGGGAUCUUCGGACCUUGCGCUAAUAGAUGAGCCUAAGUCAGAUUAGCUAGUUGGUGGGGUAAAGGCCUACCAAGGCGACGAUCUGUAGCGGGUCUGAGAGGAUGAUCCGCCACACUGGGACUGAGACACGGCCCAGACUCCUACGGGAGGCAGCAGUGGGGAAUAUUGGACAAUGGGCGAAAGCCUGAUCCAGCCAUGCCGCGUGUGUGAAGAAGGCCUUUUGGUUGUAAAGCACUUUAAGCGAGGAGGAGGCUACUUGGAUUAAUACUCUAGGAUAGUGGACGUUACUCGCAGAAUAAGCACCGGCUAACUCUGUGCCAGCAGCCGCGGUAAUACAGAGGGUGCGAGCGUUAAUCGGAUUUACUGGGCGUAAAGCGUGCGUAGGCGGCUUUUUAAGUCGGAUGUGAAAUCCCUGAGCUUAACUUAGGAAUUGCAUUCGAUACUGGGAAGCUAGAGUAUGGGAGAGGAUGGUAGAAUUCCAGGUGUAGCGGUGAAAUGCGUAGAGAUCUGGAGGAAUACCGAUGGCGAAGGCAGCCAUCUGGCCUAAUACUGACGCUGAGGUACGAAAGCAUGGGGGGCAAACAGGAUUAGAUACCCUGGUAGUCCAUGCCGUAAACGAUGUCUACUAGCCGUUGGGGCCUUUGAGGCUUUAGUGGCGCAGCUAACGCGAUAAGUAGACCGCCUGGGGAGUACGGUCGCAAGACUAAAACUCAAAUGAAUUGACGGGGGCCCGCACAAGCGGUGGAGCAUGUGGUUUAAUUCGAUGCAACGCGAAGAACCUUACCUGGUCUUGACAUAGUAAGAACUUUCCAGAGAUGGAUUGGUGCCUUCGGGAACUUACAUACAGGUGCUGCAUGGCUGUCGUCAGCUCGUGUCGUGAGAUGUUGGGUUAAGUCCCGCAACGAGCGCAACCCUCGCCAUUAGUUGCCAUCAUUUAGUUGGGAACUCUAAUGGGACUGCCGGUGCUAAGCCGGAGGAAGGUGGGGAUGACGUCAAGUCCUCAUGGCCCUUACAGGGUGGGCUACACACGUGCUACAAUGGCAACUACAGAGGGUUAAUCCUUAAAAGUUGUCUCAGUUCGGAUUGUCCUCUGCAACUCGAGGGCAUGAAGUUG
RNAcentral lists this ribosomal RNA (1232 nucleotides) under uncultured Acinetobacter sp. RNAcentral describes it as "bacterial SSU rRNA". It matches the Rfam family "Bacterial small subunit ribosomal RNA", at positions 77 to 1328 of the family's 1533-position model. The record is from RNAcentral. Lineage: Bacteria; Pseudomonadati; Pseudomonadota; Gammaproteobacteria; Moraxellales; Moraxellaceae.